RNAcentral lists this ribosomal RNA (274 nucleotides) under uncultured bacterium. RNAcentral's name for it is "partial 16S ribosomal RNA". It matches the Rfam family "Bacterial small subunit ribosomal RNA", at positions 523 to 796 of the family's 1533-position model. The record is from RNAcentral.
AUACGAAAGGCGCAAGCGUUGUUCGGAUUUACUGGGCGUAAAGAGAGUGUAGGUGGUUUAUUAAGUCGGAUGUGAAAUCCCGGGGCUCAACCUCGGAACUGCAUUCGAUACUGAUAGGCUAGAGUUUGGGAGGGGUAAGCGGAAUUCCGUGUGUAGCAGUGAAAUGCGUAGAUAUACGGAGGAACACCUGAGGCGAAGGCGGCUUACUGGACCAAUACUGACACUGAGACUCGAAAGCGUGGGUAGCAAACAGGAUUAGAAACCCUAGUAGUCC